Molecule: ribosomal RNA, 252 nt
Filed under: uncultured bacterium
Lineage: Bacteria
Description: partial 16S ribosomal RNA
Rfam family: Bacterial small subunit ribosomal RNA
Source: RNAcentral
UACGGGGGGGCAAGCGUUGUUCGGAAUUACUGGGCGUAAAGGGCUCGUAGGUGGCCAACUAAGUCAGACGUGAAAUCCCUCGGCUUAACCGGGGAACUGCGUCUGAUACUGGAUGGCUUGAGUUUGGGAGAGGGACGCGGAAUUCCAGGUGUAGCGGUGAAAUGCGUAGAUAUCUGGAGGAACACCGGUGGCGAAGGCGGCGUCCUGGACCAGCACUGACACUGAUGAGCGAAAGCCAGGGGAGCAAACGGG